RNAcentral lists this ribosomal RNA (393 nucleotides) under uncultured bacterium. RNAcentral's name for it is "partial 16S ribosomal RNA". It matches the Rfam family "Bacterial small subunit ribosomal RNA", at positions 523 to 918 of the family's 1533-position model. The record is from RNAcentral.
AUACGGAGGAUCCGAGCGUUAUCCGGAUUUAUUGGGUUUAAAGGGAGCGUAGGCGGAUUAUUAAGUCAGUUGUGAAAGUUUGCGGCUCAACCGUAAAAUUGCAGUUGAUACUGGUAGUCUUGAGUGCAGCAGAGGUAGGCGGAAUUCGUGGGGUAGGGGUGAAAUGCUUAGAUAUCACGAAGAACUCCGAUUGCGAAGGCAGCUUACUGGACUGUAACUGACGCUGAUGCUCGAAAGUGUGGGUAUCAAACAGGAUUAGAUACCCUGGUAGUCCACACAGUAAACGAUGAAUACUCGCUGUUUGCGAUAUACAGCAAGCGGCCAAGCGAAAGCAUUAAGUAUUCCACCUGGGGGGUACGCCGGCAACGGUGAAACUCAAAUGAAUUGACGGGG